GGAAAAGCUUCAUACCUUAAGAUUGCUCCCAGCAAUGAAGUACUGUGGCUAGAUUGUGACUUUCUCUUCUCCAGAAAGAGUAUCUUAUACUGUAGUCACUGGAAUACAUGCCCUGCCGCUAGGAGACAAGGACAGUGUGGUAAGCACAUCAAACAAACUUUGUUUCUGCUGAAGAGGUAGUUCUUGGUUUGUUGGCCUGAAGUAAGAGAAGCUUUUCAGUAGUAGUCUGAGACUGCAGUUUUCAUGAGAAAGGAGCAAGUCAAAGGAGAAGCCCAGAGCUGUGAUGUCAAGACCCCCUUCUUCAAAGCUCCCGGAGUCUCCUGCCAGUUACAGUCUGAGAAGGCAUCAGAAAACUAACAAGGCAGUAAAGAUCUUUAAGAAGGAGGAAAGCAGAGAAGUAAGAACAUGGAAGAAAUUUUGAUGUGGGAUUUCUGAGCAUAAGCCUCAAGAGUCUUUGGAACUUUGGCUGCCACUCUCUUGCUGCCUACAGACUGCCAUGUGAAGAAGCUGGGGCUACCUCCUUUAGGAUGCGAGACCAUAUGAAGAGAGAGACCCAAUAGCCAAUACCAACUAUUUAGACAUAUGACUAUUCAUUCCCAGUUGAGCAAUCAGGUGAUUGCAGCUGCAUAAGUCACACCAGGGGGAAGAAGCACCCAGCUAAAUCCAGCCCAAAUUGCAGACCCACAGAAUCAUGAGCAAACAAAUUGUUGUUUUA
This 715-nucleotide long non-coding RNA is filed under the name Equus asinus (donkey). Its description in RNAcentral is "lncRNA (ENSEASG00005027399.1)". Lineage: Eukaryota; Metazoa; Chordata; Mammalia; Perissodactyla; Equidae. The record is from RNAcentral.